UUGACCUCGAAUCAGGUAGGGAUACCCGCUGAACUUAAGCAUAUCAAUAAGCGGAGGAAAAGAAACCAACCGGGAUUACCUCAGUAACGGCGAGUGAAGCGGUAACAGCUCAAAUUUGAAAUCUGGCUCUUCCGGAGUCCGAGUUGUAAUUUGUAGAAGAUGCUUUGGGAGGUAGGGCCGGCCUAAGUUCCUUGGAACAGGACAUCAGAGAGGGUGAGAAUCCCGUAUGUGGCCGUGGCCUACGCCCGUGUAAAGCUCUUUCGACGAGUCGAGUUGUUUGGGAAUGCAGCUCAAAAUGGGUGGUAAAUUUCAUCUAAAGCUAAAUAUUGGCCAGAGACCGAUAGCGCACAAGUAGAGUGAUCGAAAGAUGAAAAGCACUUUGGAAAGAGAGUUAAACAGUACGUGAAAUUGUUGAAAGGGAAGCGCUUGCAACCAGACUUGGGCGUCGUCGAUCAUCCGGGGUUCUCCUCGGUGCACUCGACGAGGCACAGGCCAGCAUCGGUUUGGAUGGUUGGAGAAAGGCCCUAGGAACGUAGCUCUCUUCGGGGAGUGUUAUAGCCUAGAGCGCAAUGCAGCCCAUCCGGACCGAGGACCGCGCCUUUGGCUAGGAUGCUGGCGUAAUGGUUGCAAGCGACCCGUCUUGAAACACGGACCAAGGAGUCUAACAUCUAUGCGAGUGUUUGGGCGUUAAACCCAUACGCGGAAUGAAAGUGAACGUAGGUGAGAACCCGUCAGGGUGCAUCAUCGACCGUCCUGAGUCUUCGGAUGGAU
Molecule: ribosomal RNA, 771 nt
Filed under: Golovinomyces ambrosiae
Lineage: Eukaryota; Fungi; Ascomycota; Leotiomycetes; Helotiales; Erysiphaceae
Description: eukaryotic LSU rRNA
Rfam family: Eukaryotic large subunit ribosomal RNA
Source: RNAcentral